CCUACGGGAGGCAGCAGUGGGGAAUAUUGCACAAUGGGCGCAAGCCUGAUGCAGCCAUGCCGCGUGUAUGAAGAAGGCCUUCGGGUUGUAAAGUACUUUCAGCGGGGAGGAAGGCUGUUGAAGGUUAAUAAACCUCAGCAAUGACGUUACCCGCAGAAGAAGCACCGGCUAACUCCGUGCCAGCAGCCGCGGUAAUACGGAGGGUGCAAGCGUUAAUCG
Molecule: ribosomal RNA, 219 nt
Filed under: uncultured Pantoea sp.
Lineage: Bacteria; Pseudomonadati; Pseudomonadota; Gammaproteobacteria; Enterobacterales; Erwiniaceae
Description: partial 16S ribosomal RNA
Rfam family: Bacterial small subunit ribosomal RNA
Source: RNAcentral